This 89-nucleotide transfer RNA is filed under the name Planctomycetota bacterium. RNAcentral's name for it is "Planctomycetes bacterium (activated sludge metagenome) tRNA-Ser". It matches the Rfam family "tRNA". From Rfam's summary of the family: Transfer RNA (tRNA) molecules are approximately 80 nucleotides in length. Their secondary structure includes four short double-helical elements and three loops (D, anti-codon, and T loops). The record is from RNAcentral. Lineage: Bacteria; Pseudomonadati; Planctomycetota.
GGAGGGGUGGCCGAGUGGUUUAACGCGGCAGAUUCGAAAUCUGUUGUGCGUUCUGCGUACCGGGGGUUCGAAUCCCCCCUCCUCCGCCA